UACGUAGGGGGCAAGCGUUGUCCGGAUUUAUUGGGCGUAAAGAGCGUGUAGGCGGCUUUGCAAGUCCGUUGUGAAAACUCGAGGCUCAACCUCGAGACGCCGGUGGAAACUGCAAAGCUAGAGUCCGGAAGAGAAGAGUGGAAUUCCGCGUGUAGCAGUGAAAUGCGUAGAUAUGCGGAGGAACACCGAUGGCGAAGGCAAUCCCCUGGGCCUGCACUGACGCUCAUGCACGAAAGCGUGGGGAGCAAACAGG
RNAcentral lists this ribosomal RNA (253 nucleotides) under uncultured bacterium. Its description in RNAcentral is "partial 16S ribosomal RNA". It matches the Rfam family "Bacterial small subunit ribosomal RNA", at positions 524 to 776 of the family's 1533-position model. The record is from RNAcentral.